This is a long non-coding RNA of Apis cerana (Asiatic honeybee), 2495 nucleotides long. RefSeq lists it as uncharacterized. The record is from RefSeq and is a predicted model, not a curated record. Lineage: Eukaryota; Metazoa; Arthropoda; Insecta; Hymenoptera; Apidae.
AUUAAAAUUAACAAAUAUUAAUAAUAAUUGCAUCAUUUUUACUAAUAAUUAUAAAUGAUUCAAUAUAAAAACCUAGAAAUGGUUAAAUAACAAAUCUUAAAUAUUAAUGACCCGCUAAAUUUUAAUUCUUUCAACAUUUGUUGACUUCAUUUCAAUGCUAAUACGAUACUUAUGAAUUAAAGAAUUAAAUCAAUUAAGCAUUCUAUGUUGAAUUAUGGAAUUACUGAAACAAUGGAAUUAGUUUGCAUAGAUGAUAAUAUAUUACAUUUACGAAAGUUGCGCAUAACAAAAUUUUAUUUGCUUCAAGAUAAAAAAAAAAAAAAAUUCUUUAAGAAAAAAUGAGCAUAAUGUGAAUAUAUUUUCAUAGAGGUGCUAAUAUUUUAAUUAAAACGGAGAGGAACGAGAAAUUAGAAUUAAUUAAAUGAGUCGUUCGUGGGAAAAAAAUUGUUAUAUCGUCGAUAUUACCUUUCCUUGCUAUAAAGGAGACACAUCUCGCGAUGCACGAGCUUUGUGACGCCUCGUCUCCGAAAUUCUCCAAGUUCUUGACGGAGUUUAAUUAAACAUUCCGCCCGUCAGGAAUUUUGUGGUCAUCUCUCUCUGUACAGAAACUCCUUCUAAUGGAUUCUGCUCCUUGAAUCUCGAUACGUCGUGUCGAUACGUCGUGUCCCAGACUAUAUAUUUUUCUUUUAAAAAUUUCGAAUCUUUAAAGAUUCAAAAUUUUUGUUUACGACCUUUGGAAUUUUUUAUUUCUUACGCUGUAUUUUGGGAUCGGGAAAAAUGAAUUUAAAAAAGCGAAAGAAAGAGAAAUUCGAACGAGCAUUUCGUCAAAAUACAGGAUUAAGAAUAAAUGGAUCUUUAUUGAUAUUUUUGAGACUAGUUAAUCCAAGACAGAAUAUUCAAAAUCUGAAUAUCCAAAGAACGAAGAAGCUAUUGGCAUUGUAUACUUAAAAAAAAUUUCAAGAUAAAUUGAUGAUAAAUUAUAAUCAUUUUUACACCAGAUAAUUAACUGAUAAUUAAGGAUUUUAUAUGUUCUUUCAUGAAUAUUCACAUAAAUAUAUGUGAAUUUAUAAUAUAUAAAAGGAAUGGAUCAUUCUUAAUGAAUAACGCAACUGUAUAAUUAUUUCUUUUUGAACCAAUGAUUUAAUUAUUAUCGAAAGAUUCGACCAUUAAAAAGAAGAAGAAAGAAGGAGCUCGAUGACUUGAUUCAAAUGAAUUUCAAUACCUAAGUUAGGUUUCAAGUGUCACUGAGGGCUAUCGAGCGAAAUAUCACGAGGGAUACGACGGUUGAACGGCCAUUUGAAUACACUCGAACGAGUUGUUCAUCAAUAAAUACUAAAACCAUUGCUGUUCCAAACUAUUGCUGCUCGAUAAAACAACAACCACACUAUGAAUGGACUUUCGAGUCUUUGAAGGCCGUUGAAGUGCACGGAAUAAUAAAGAAGAUCGAAUACUCAAUGAAAAUCACAUUGAAGCGAUUUUAAAAAAAAAACUUGGAGGAGGGAAGAAUCUUUUUUUUGCUGGAAAACACAACCCUCGUCGCGUUUAAUUAGAAACGAUGUUUCAGCGUGUUUGCAAUUGAACCGUCUGUAAUAAGGGUUGUAGAAAAAACGAGCGGAAAGGAAAUUCUGCGGCCAGGAAAUUAAUUAACGUAUUAAUCGAGUAAUUGGCCUCAUCCCCGGAACUACCCUCGUGGUAGAACUUUCUUUUAUAAGGGUAAUUAAUCUACCGAGAAGUUUGUAAAAAAAAAAAAAAAAAAAGAAAAAGAAAACUUUUCCGUUAGGAUUUUAUGGAGCGUUGAUUCGAAAAUGAUUGCACAAAUAGAAAGGUGGACUGGAUUCGAGUCGCAUUACUUUUUAAAUAUCUACGACGUUUCCUCGUCUCUCCCUAAUGGUUAAUUACUUUCCUCUUGUUACUUUGACUAACAAGGUUGUCCAAAGAAGUUUCCAGUUGUUGAGUUAUUAAACAGCUUCAACUGCGAGAGAGAGAGAGAGAGAAAAAAAUGAUAAUUUCAUAUUAAUGAACUGGAUGAAUGGAAUUAUUAUAAUAUUUUUUCGUCAAAAAAAACAAGAUGCAUCUGUUAGUCUAAUUGGAAACACGCGUGAAAGAAGAAGAAGAAGAAGAAAAAACAAGAAGGUGAUGAUGCUGACAAGGAAAAAAGAGGCACGGUUUUGAUUAUUGUUAUUUACGCAUUUAUUACAAGAGAACGAAACGUUUCAUUUGGUCCGAAAAUCAGGGAUGAGUUUUACGAAAAGAUGCGUCUCGUGUACGUUCACGCGCGUUAUGUUUUUUUUUUUCUUUGUUUUCAUGCGCUUUCAUUAUUACAGUUAUUAACAAUGUUUCAACGUUGAGCAACGUUGUGCGUUAAUGUUGCAGGCGUUUCGAAUAAUUUGAAUACAAGAUUCGAGAGAGCGUGUCGAUAUUUUUUUUUUUUUUUACGUUUGUUUAAAAAAACAAGUCGAGUCGACAAUUUAGAAUUACGAUGACAGGAAAUGAAA